UAAGGAAUAUUGGUCAAUGGACGCAAGUCUGAACCAGCCAUGCCGCGUGGAGGAUUAAGGCCCUCUGGGUUGUAAACUCCUUUUAUCUGGGAAGAAAUGUACUUUUUCUUGAGUACUUGACGGUACCAGAGGAAUAAGCACCGGCUAACUCCGUGCCAGCAGCCGCGGUAAUACGGAGGGUGCAAGCGUUAUCCGGAUUCACUGGGUUUAAAGGGUGCGUAGGUGGGCAGGUAAGUCAGUGGUGAAAUCUCCGGGCUUAACCCGGAAACUGCCGUUGAUACUAUUUGUCUUGAAUAUUGUGGAGGUAAGCGGAAUAUGUCAUGUAGCGGUGAAAUGCUUAGAUAUGACAUAGAACACCAAUUGCGAAGGCAGCUUACUACACAAUCAUUGACGCCGAGGCACGAAAGCGUGGGGAUCAAACA
This 422-nucleotide ribosomal RNA is filed under the name uncultured bacterium. Its description in RNAcentral is "bacterial SSU rRNA". It matches the Rfam family "Bacterial small subunit ribosomal RNA", at positions 355 to 774 of the family's 1533-position model. The record is from RNAcentral.